Molecule: long non-coding RNA, 283 nt
Filed under: Olea europaea (common olive)
Lineage: Eukaryota; Viridiplantae; Streptophyta; Magnoliopsida; Lamiales; Oleaceae
Description: long non-coding RNA (OEUR_LNC007888)
Source: RNAcentral
AAAAAUCAUCAAAAUCUCAAAUAGACAUUUAAACCAAAAGUUUUGGAAACCACCACUUCCUCUAAUACCACCACAACUACUACAGAAUAUAACAAAAUUCGACUGAGUGUUUCUACAACAUCAUCCUGUCAACAUGCAAGUAUUACAUCACUUACAAACCCUUCUACAAAUAUGUUUGUCACCCAAAAUUAGACAAUUACUUAAUAAACAUAAGUUCCCCAACUAUUCGUUACAUACUUAUGAAACGGUCUCUUUUGCUUCAGCAAGCUUUCCCAAAUAUCUC